AUACGUAGGGGGCGAGCGUUGUCCGGAAUGAUUGGGCGUAAAGGGCGCGUAGGCGGCCCGGUAAGUCUGGAGUGAAAGUCCUGUUUUUAAGAUGGGAAUUGCUUUGGAUACUGUCGGGCUUGAGUGCAGGAGAGGUAAGUGGAAUUCCCAGUGUAGCGGUGAAAUGCGUAGAGAUUGGGAGGAACACCAGUGGCGAAGGCGACUUACUGGACUGUAACUGACGCUGAGGCGCGAAAGUGUGGGGAGCAAACAGGAUUAGAUACCCUGGUAGUCCACACUGUAAACGAUGAAUGCUAGGUGUAGGGGGUAUCGACCCCUUCCGUGCCGCAGUUAACACAAUAAGUAUUCCACCUGGGGAGUACGGCCGCAAGGUUGAAACUUAAAGGAAUUGGCGGGG
RNAcentral lists this ribosomal RNA (397 nucleotides) under uncultured bacterium. RNAcentral describes it as "partial 16S ribosomal RNA". It matches the Rfam family "Bacterial small subunit ribosomal RNA", at positions 523 to 918 of the family's 1533-position model. The record is from RNAcentral.